AACUACAAACAAGCAUCACUAGUGCAAGGUUCAACGUAGUUCAACGAGGGGAAAAAAUUAGAUACUGGGGCUUUCCGUUAUCAAAUUUGUCCUUUAUUUUUUUAAAAAAUAAGGCAGGAGCAUUACCACAUCAUUUAAAAAGUUACCUCAUAUUAAAGAAAACGAGACCAAACUGUACAUGACUCGAUUAAUUAAGGAAAUUGAGCAAAAACUGUUAAGACAAAGUGGUUACAAAUCUAGCUAAACUCGAUCUAUGCACCACAAAACAUCAACUACCUAGCUAAACUAUGUCUAAUGUGAUCGGAAGGCGCUCAUAUUGAAACCCGUGACCACCAAAACUACACACAUUGAUCUCCAAAGCAACGUUUUCAAGAAGAGCACGACGCACAUGAUGCCAUCGCUGCCAGUCUGGUGAGUCGGAAGUAGGUUUUCACCUAGAGAACUUCCAUGGUUUGCAGAAAGUACCACGACAACGCCUCCAACGAGGAAACGGCACCAGAAGCUGUCGUCGUUGCCGAUGCCAGCACAGAGCUGAACAAAGCUUUCACAGAUGAACCAGCAUCGGCGCUUGCAUUGCUUGUGUAGCACAGUAGCAGCAACAGUCUCCAAAAAAUCGCAUCCUUCGUUCUAGAUGGUCAUCCAUAUUAACAUGUUGUGUCACGCUAGAUAUGUGUUUGGCUGAGUCAUUAGUACCAAAUAUCCUAUAUAUAACCCUUGUUUGCGUCAACCCUUUUUCAACUUAUGUGAAUCCAUUCUGCUUGAACAACACAUGCACCUUUGUAGUUUUAAAAUUAAAAUUUACUAAACUAGGCUACCUUUGAAACUUAUCUAAUUUUUUAUGGCACUAUCAGACCCGAGGCCACGGGAUACCUGACGUGGCGCGGAUCAGUACUAGAUAUGGGAUGGGGUAUGCCCUAUACUCAUACGUCAUGCAACUAGUCGUAUAGACUUAGAACUAGUUGGUACAGAAGGAAACCACUCGAAUAGAACUCGAGAAGGACUCUUCGGCUCGUACCGAUCUAGGAUUUCAUGUAAUCCUAUACCCCCAGCCUUUAUAAGAGAGGGUGGAUAUGAACCCCUCCAAAGCAUCACGCAUCACCUGACCCUCAGGCAAUACAAACCGCCCAACAGUACGUAGGGUAUUACAUAUCUUGCGGCCCGAAUCUGUCUAAACACCGUGUUGCUUGAACCAUCGUGUUCUCAAUCUCGGAGACUCCCUGCAAUCAAUCCUCUACUUCGAGGUAUACCUAGGUAGACUUGCCAGUAAAACACCAACAGACACCAAACUACUUUCCAAAAAUAUAGAAAAAUAACUAAAUAUUUGUCACAAGCCACAAAAACAAGGAACAUAUCUGAUGGAAACCAUAACUUUUAUAAAAACCCGUGCAACAUCAUAUCAUCUACACGUAUGAUUUUUUUGGUGAAUUUAGACGACUGUUUUGCCGUGGUUUGCACGGAUUUUCACGAAAGUUGUAGUUUCCACCAGAUAUGUUCCCACAAAAAUAUAUACACUUUUGUAUAUCCGGAAUAAUAUACUCGGAAUUUAGAAACCAAUGUUGGUCAAUCUUUUGUUAAAACUUUGACAUUAAGUAUAUUUGAUACUAUUGUAAUAUAAUUAUGUAGUCAAGAUAUACAUAAAAAUAUAUGAAUUAUAGACUUCUGCUUGUAUUAAUUAAAAAACUGAGAGCUUUAGGGGCCUUUCAGAUAUUUUACUACUGAACUUAUAGAAUCUACUCAAAAUAAUUAGGAUUUUCAAACACUAAGCUUAUGCACACUUCUCCGUACAGAAUCUUGCUUGUUACAAAAACGAUCGCGGAAACAAACGGGGCCCAAUAAAAAAAUCGACGACACACCGUUUGUUAAUGUCAGCAGGUGUUGAUCAGAUCGAGGAACAGGAUCCAAGGCUGCUAAACCGGCCAGUUGUUUUUUCUCCAAAUGAAUACUGAUAGAAUAGGUGCACCGUCCACAGUAAAUAGGAGUAUAUUAACAGUUUGGCCUUUGGACUGAUAAAAUAGGUGCACCGUGCACGGGAAAUAAGAGAGACCUCACCUCGCUGCCUCGCUCUCCCCUCCUUGCGCUUGCGCUGGGGAACAAUUCAUCAGACAGAGCUCCCGGCAGGCAGGUUCUGUCCAGGUAGCGACAGGGUUCAGGGUCGACCACCACCAGAGUGACCAAGAACUUUGGGCACAGUUCACUGAAGACGAGGGUUAUGAUCGGUGGCCUCCGCCUGCUGUCCGAGCUCGAGGACCAGGCAACGCAGACAUGCGCGUGGCGGCGGCGGCUUCACGGCCAUGCGCUUGGGCGAGAACGGCAAACCUGAAGAUUAUGAUCAGCGUGUUUCUGAUGAUCCUACUAGUGAGU
Panicum virgatum (switchgrass) is the source of this 2361-nucleotide long non-coding RNA. RefSeq lists it as uncharacterized. The record is from RefSeq and is a predicted model, not a curated record. The transcript has 3 exons. Lineage: Eukaryota; Viridiplantae; Streptophyta; Magnoliopsida; Poales; Poaceae.